CAGCAGUCGGGAAUUUUGGGCAAUGGGCGAGAGCCUGACCCAGCAACGCCGCGUGAAGGAUGAAAUCCCUCGGGAUGUAAACUUCGCAAGAAUGGGAAGAAUUAGUAGGGGUUAAUACCCCCUAUGAUGACGGUACCAUUUGUAAGCUCCGGCUAACUCCGUGCCAGCAGCCGCGGUAAUACGGGGGGAGCAAGCGUUGUUCGGAUUUACUGGGCGUAAAGGGCGCGUAGGCGGCCAGCGCAAGUCGGUUGUGAAAUCUACGGGCUUAACUCGGAAAGGUCAACUGAUACUGCGCGGCUAGAGUGCGGAAGGGGCAACUGGAAUUCUCGGUGUAGCGGUGAAAUGCGUAGAUAUCGAGAGGAACACCUGCGGCGAAGGCGGGUUGCUGGGCCGACACUGACGCUGAUGCGCGAAAGCCAGGGGAGCGAACGGGAUUAGA
This 439-nucleotide ribosomal RNA is filed under the name uncultured Acidobacteriota bacterium. RNAcentral describes it as "bacterial SSU rRNA". It matches the Rfam family "Bacterial small subunit ribosomal RNA", at positions 349 to 782 of the family's 1533-position model. The record is from RNAcentral. Lineage: Bacteria; Pseudomonadati; Acidobacteriota.